AUUUUUUUUUUUUGUUAUGUUCCCUUUUGUCUUCAAGUUCAUAGCCUGGCUGGAAAAAUGUGAGAAAAUUAAAAAGAUAUCAGCCAAGAACCUUUACAGAGUUGCAACUAAAAAAUAUGUAGUGUGUUGAAAAAUUAGGGAACAUGAUAGCUAGACGACCCAUAUAGCAACGAAGGUAGUACUUAAGUCAUAGUUAAAUCAUUGUUGCAGCAAAUGUGUUGAUAACAUAAGAAACAUGUGUGUAUCUAUACAUGUAUGCAUAUUUGAAUCAACUUUAAAACACAAGAUAUGAAACUAUAGGAGAAUUACCCAUGUCAAUUCUUAUUGUUCUGUUUCUACUUCAACACUCUCGUUAUUAGCUUAAGCCAAGUGUAAGCUGAUAAUUAAGCUGCAAUGUGUUGUACCAUAAGCAUUUGAUUCUUAAUUGCGGAGCUAUACUAUAAUACUGAUUAAAGAACCAGUUAGUGUAGUAUUUAAAAUGUCAUAUAGCAAAGUUCGAGUAAUUGUGGUAAGUGGUAAGGACAAGAAAGAGUUGAAAGAUGCAUAAAAGUGAGAGAAAAUGAAUUUAAAUUCUAAACCUGAUCAAGUAGGAGAGGUUUUAUGGUUAUUUUCUUUUUAGCUAAGCUUGCUGCAAAUUCCUCAACUGUCAUAGGCUCCAACAAUGCAUUCGGAUGAAGCUCUGAUAUUGGGCUCACAGAUGUUGGCUGUGAUAGCAAACAUAAAUAAACAAUUCACUAACAGAGAAGCUUAACAAAGAAAAGCAACUUAAGAGUUAUGCAUUUAUACAUUAGCUAGAAGUCGAACUUUGGCCAAUCUCCUCUUAUCAGUAAUGGAAAGCUCCAGACCAUCAUCAAGCUGUAUACAAAAUCAUAACUCAUUGAAGCACAUUUUCGGGUUCGCGAUCAGUUAAAAACUUAAAAUUUUCUCAACCUGGACUAAGAACUUUGAAUACUUAGAUGGCCACUCCUCUGAGACCUUUACAGCAGACCUAUAUAAAAAAUGUAAUACAAAUCAAUCUUGUUCUAUGAAUUUUAUACUGACCAAAGCAAAUGUAAUAAUCGUGCUUCAUAAACCGCACCUCUUAUACUUAGUGACAGCGACGCCUUUGAUAUAAAUAGCAUCAGCCAUACCUGAGGAAGAACACACAUAAACCAAAAUCAAAAUUAAAUAAAGCCAAACACUUUCACUCCUUCUUUACGAAUGAAAGCAAAAAGGUCUUGCAUUGAACAAUGAACCGUCUUGCAUUUUAACAAAUCUUCGAUUUUGAUGUAGUUUAUUCCAUCAAAGGCCCUGAAUUUAGAUAAAUUGGAGUAAGAAAAACCUUGAAUUAAGUUACUUGACGAACACACAUAAAACCAAAACCAAAACAAAAUAUAAGUUCUAACAAACAAUAAAUCCCACUUUCACUCCUUUGAUAAUGAAUCAAAGCCAAAAGGUCUAGCAUUGAACUGUCCUGCAUUUUGUUAAAUUUUCAAUUUUGAUGUAAUUGAUUCCAUCAAAAGCCCUGAUUUUUAAGGUAAAACGGAAAUGUAAAACCAUUGGCAUCAGCUUGAUCAAAUUUCAACCAAAUAAUUUGGGAUUCAAAAAAAGAUUGCAAACGUAACCUAAACCUUAUUAAAGGGAGAUUACCUGAACUUAGAAGAUGAAGCACUGAUGGAGAUAAGGCAGUCACAUACUUGAAUCUUUAGUCAUUCUGGAUUUUUAAGAGGAAUCACAUGACGCUUCAAUUCACAAUUUAAGAUGCCGUUUGGAUUUAGAAAUAUCUGAGAGAGGAUACAAAGCGUUUAUGGAAGAGUAUCAAACGAUAUCGAUGGUGAUUGUGAAAAAUAUAUCCAUAAAAAAAAUUGUAAAUGGCUGAUGUGGCAUGAUUUUAGGAACUCUUUAGAUUGCUGAUGUGGAUUGCUUUAGAAGCCUCAAUGAUCUUCUUUUAUUAGUAAGAGAUGUCAAGUAAAAAGUUUAGGUUAUUAUAUGGAAAACUAAAUGAUGAUAAUAUUAUUUAGAUAUUUAAAAAAAAAAUUAUUAACAAUUUGAGUGAUGGAGGAUAAGCAAAACUUUUAAAUCAAUGAAAAUUGAAUCACUUAAAAAGUGUAUUAUAUAGCUUCAAUAUCAAACUUUAUAACAUUCGGUUGAAAAUUUUUUUGGGAAAAGAGUUAACUAAGUUACAGUAAAAAAUUUUUUAUAAAUUGGCUAUUGGGCCACUUGGCAUCUUCUUAUAUUAAAAUAUUUUAUUUUAUUCUAGUUACAUAUUUAGAAUUGAAUUAAUUAACACAUAACUCCAAAAUGAAUAGUUGUAUUAAAAGUAUUAACAUUUGCUGUGAAUUAAAUUUAAUUAAUAUUCAAAUUAAGAAUUUAAUACUCCAUCCGUUUUAAAAUUAGUUGUCAUUUAAAAUUUUUUCACACAAUUUAAGAAAACAUUUAAAUUCUGUUUUACCCUUAGUUAAUGUGUUUUUUUUUUAUUUGAUAUCAUCAAUUAAUCAGCUAGAACAGCAAAGAUAAAAUUGGAAAAUCUGUCAUAAAUAUGUAUUGAAAACACAAAGCGACAACUAAUUUAAUAUAAAUUUAACUUCUAAUACGACAACUAAUUUAAAAUAGAGGGAGUAGUAGGAUGAUGAAGCUUUUAUAAUUUAUUAAUUGUUUAAAUUUUAUUAUUUACUUAUUGUAAGAAUUAAGUAUUUACAUAUGAUUUUUAGUGAAUUUAUCUAUGUUAAGAGUAAAAAUGAGUGGUGGAGCAUUUUAAACUAUCAUUAUGGUUGAAAUGAUAUUAAGUGUAGGUUAGAAUUUCAUUAUGAGUGUUUUGAUUAUUUUUUUCUUUUUAGAGUGACAGAAUUAUAUAUUUCUUUUUUAUUUAGUAUCAAGUAAAAAUUUUAGAUUAUUGUAUGGAAGAUUAAAUUAUUUUAGCUCUAAUUAACCAACAUAUUUAACAUAAAAAAAAAUACAAUUUGAGUGAUGGAGGAUAAGCAAAGUGAAGUUAAUGAAAAUUAAAUCAUUAAAUAUUGAAAGGUUUAAUUUGAGGAAAUAGUUAACUAAAUUAAAGUAAAUAUAUAUUUACACAUCAGCCCAUGAUCCCAAACCUUCUCCAACGGUGGUUCUGGGUCGUCUAUGGUAUUCAAUAGUUUACAUUUUACAAUCUGAGUUAUUUAUUUUUCAUGGCUUGUAAAUCAACUAUUUUUUGUUGAUUAAUAAUUUUAUCAUUUCAAAGAAUAUAUAUAUAUAUAUAUAUAUAUAUAUAUAUAUAUAUAUAUAUAUAUAUAUCACUAUCUCACUAUUGGCCUGUUUUGCAUCUUCUUAACUAAAAUAUAUUAUUUUAUCUGAACUCUAUAUAUAUAAUUGAAUUAAUUUUUAAUAUGAAACUCAUAAUAAAUCCUCAAUUAAAAAAAUACGAUUUUUGUUUCUUAUGCAUAUAAUAUCGAAUGAAAUGUUUUUACCAAUCAUCAUAUCAGAUAAUUUAAACUUCACCAAAAAAAACAAAUAUCAGAUAAUUUAAAUACAUAUUCACCAAUCAUCUUUCUAUACCAUAUCACUACUUUCAUUUGUGUUGUCUAUUUUUUUUAAUCAUUAUUUUUUAACAAAAAUGUAUGAUCAUAUGUUGCAUUUGAAAAUUAAUUAUAAUAGAAAUUUAAGUAUUUUUCAAAAAAUAAUUAAUAUAAAAAAUUAGCCUUGAAAACAACUAUUCAAUCUAAACAAAAAAAUUGAUUUAAUAUUAAAUAUAUUAAUGAUUAAACUUUUUAAAAGUAGCAAAACAUUUUUAAUGUAUAUUUAGUCACAAAGUAUUUACAUAUAUUAUUUUAUUAAUUUCAAAUCCACUGGACACCUUCUAGUAGAAUAAUAAUAUGGAGAAUUUACCAUCAGGUUCUUGUUUUUGUAACGUGAGAAAAUUAUUAAUCAUUGCGUUACUUUCUCUAUCUCUUAGCUUCUAGACUCUGAAAGAAACAAGGGUUGAAGGAGAAAGGUUUUGAUUUUAUUUCCUUUGUUCUCUCUUAACUAUUACAUGAGGUUUAUCCUCUUAUUUAUACACAAUGUAAAACCCUAAUGCUCUUGACAGAUGUCAUCAUGCGAUAGAGAGCUGAGAGCGUCAAACUUGUUGUUUGUCUUUAUCUCUGGUACAAAUGCACAGCUCACUCGCUAUCCUUUUGCAACGGCAUUGUUAUCGGCAGCUUCCUUUCUCUUGUCGUUUGUGUGAGAAGAUGACUGUUGCUGACUGGGCUUCGUGGGCUCAGAUGUGAUUUGAAUCUUGUUGGGCUUGACAUCACGAUCCAUCGGUUUGGCUUGGGAAGACUCUGCUUGGAACAGAGGAUUUGGCUUGGGAAGACUCUGCUUGGAACAGAGGAUUUGGCUUGUUCUCUGUUGACUUGAGCUUCUCCUUAAUAGACUCAUCGUGUAAACGUUGCAAAAUCUCAUCUGUGGCUUUGCCUAUAGCUUUAACCUCCUUCACGUAUUUCUUUCCAAACAGUUUUAGCACCGGCAAGUAAUCACCGGAAUGAUUCGCGCCGCUAUACACGGCGAUAUCAUACACGAGCAUCUUGAACAGUUAUGUUUCUUCCUGUUGUUAACAUCUUCUCCCUACCUUUCUUACUAUGUUGUUGAACGUUAGAUCGGGUAAGAGCGGUUCGAGUUCGAUAUGAGUGAAACGGCUUGUGUCAUCGAAGUGAGUGUGUGAGCAUUAGCAAGAUCUUAACGGAUGUGGAGGAAGUUGUAGAAGCGGUGAGAAGAGAGGAUUUCUAUGGAGCAAAAUGCGGUGGAGGUUACGACACUGAUCACCGCAAGGAGCGGUUCCAAUGGUUGUGUGGUUGUAGGCUGAUCAAUGCAUACUUGGUUAAUAUAAGACUUUUAGUGAACACUCAUAUUGGGCUUCUGAGUGUUAGACAAUUUAUGGUGUUUAGUUUAUGUUAAUUAUGCUUUGUUUAUUAAAUGGAUAAGUAUCAAUUUUGUAGAGACUAGGAUUAGUUUUUUUGUUUCUCGAUUCUUAUAUAAAGGAUCCUUGCGUUGUAGAAUGGAUGAGUUUUGAUUAUUGAAUAGAGAUAUAUAUUUUAAAGAGUUUGCUUGUGUAUAGUCCUGACUCUUGAGAGAAAGAUUCUCAACCCUAAAAGCUUAUGUGUUAACUCUCAAAUCCUAUUGUUUUCAACGUCAAUCCGUCGUUGUUAACAAGAUCAGGUCGCAAACCAAGAUCCCUUAGAGAUCGUGAGCUUCUUGUUCGUUAAUUAAGUUUCCGCUCUCUAUCAUAGGCGAUGUGGUUGGCGGUGAGUUGGAGGGUCCGGUUGAGAGAACAAAGUCGUUUUUGGCCGGUGAAGAAUAUUCUUGGGCGAGGGAAGAAGAAGAUAUACUACUACACGAGCCAAAACGGAGGGAGAAGAUUGGUCCGUACUCUUUGGAGGACAGUGGUUAACGACUGGACGUGACAGUGGUUGCCGAGGGAGAUUGAAAUGGUGUGUUUUAGAGGAGAGGAAUUUGUAAGCCAAAAGAAGCAAUAUGAGAGGGAGAAGUACGAAAUAAAACAUUUCGUCCUCUAUCUUUUUUUCCCUAAUUUUAGGGUGUUUGUGUUUCGACUUGUGAAAUUGGCUUAUGGUUUGGUUUACAACUCUCUAUAUAUAGAGAAAUUGGAGUACUUAAUGACAUAACUUGACGUACCAACGUAGAGCGAAUAAUCUAUCUGAUCGCACCAACAACAUAGAUUAUUGUACCCAAGAAAAUCUUGUUAACAUAAUUCGAUUUUUUUAUUUAUUUAAAAUUUGAAUAUGUAGUGACCAAUGAACCGAAUUGCAUAAAGUCUACAUACAUAGUUAUUAUAGUUAUAGGCAUUUUUAAUCCUUACUUUUAUUCUUUCAUGUUUUCGAGAGAGAUUGAUUAAACUCUAACGUUGAUUUUCCAAAUGGCACGGGGAAGAAGAAAGAUCGGGAUUUUAGGAACAAAACAUUCAUGGUAGUUGCACAAGUUGUCCGCUUCUAGUCGUCAUAACCAAAAACUAAAAGAUAAGAGAGUGUUUUCUAUUUCCUAUUGCAUCAAGGUUUCGAAACUAAACCUAAUUUAUAGUCCAUCGACAUGCAUAUUACAUAAACUAUUUUAAAAAGUAAAGUUGAUAAAAUCGAGUGGUUAGUUUCAUGUCAAAUCAUUAUGUAUUUUUCUGGGUACAAAUGAUUCAAAACUACUCCAUUUUGAGGAGUCAAAACGACUCCAUUUUAAAUUAACACUCAAAGCUAAUUUUUAACAAUUUAAUAAAGAAAAAGUUUAGAAAAUUUCUAUUUCAUGAAUUAUUAUCAGACAAGUAGUAAUUUGUUUUUAUUUCAAUAUAAAAGUGAAUCGAUUUUCAUAAUUAAAUUGAAAACCAUAAAUACCAUAAAAAUACCAUACAUAGUUUAACAGGAAAACACAUAAACAUAAAACAAGAUCAAACAAAACACUACCAAGCGUUUCUUUUCCCAUAGCCAUUCCUAAUCGAAAGAGAUCCAAAACUCGAAGACACAUCCUCAAGCAAAGCAUCACUCAUGGAAUCUCUUAGAUUCUUCUCAUCAGUAGCAUCAUAGAAACAUCCACGUGUCCUAGACUCACUUAUCAGUUUAGCCCAAAUCGAACCACUUAGAGCCAAAGUUGUCUCAUUACCAACCACCCAUAAACAAUGCCUUGCUCGAGUAAGUGCCACAUUGGCUCUUUGACGGUUGUUGAGAAAUCCCACUUUUCCAUUACCGUUACUUCUAACGGUAGAGAUGAUGAUAACAUCUUCUUCCCCACCUUGAAACCCAUCUACCGACCGAACAUUCAAAGUGAAAAGCUCACCUGAUAAAGAGCUGUACUUAUUUUUGGUUCUCUCUUGGAUUGCUCUGACUUGUCCUUUGUAUGGAGAAACCACUCCAACGCUCAUCUUUAUUCUUCUUUCACUUGAAACUGUUUUGAAAAAUAAGCAAAAUUAAUUUAAAAAAGAAUAAUGAAAAACAGAUUAAUAUAUAAAGAUCAAUAAUACCUUUGAAAAGACUGGAUAUGAUUUCAGAAAUCACAGCAACUUCAACCAUGUUUUUAGGACUAUGUCCAUCACCAAACUCUUCUUCUCCAAGUCCAACAUUGAUAAAAGAGAAAGAACCAAACAUGUUCCCUUGAAGAAACCUCUUUUGAUAAAUGCUUUCUUGAACAUUCGCAGCAUCUUUGAUUUUCCCACCAUAGAACUCUUUAUUAGGGAAACGACUAAUCGAAGGAUGCAUUCGGUAUUGAACAUUAAGAAAAUGCUUGUUGUGACCAAGCAGAACCAACCUCUCGAACAAACUGCUUCCGAAUUUUGCCUUUUCACAUAUCUGCCACAUUAUUCCGUGAUUAGAAAACUAUAGUAUAUAUAACUAGAAAAUAGAAAGACACUUUUGUUUAUAAUAAGAGACUACCUCGUUAUGAACCAUUGCAGGCAACUGAAGCUCAUCUCCUAUAAGAACAGCAUGACGAAGUCCAGAAAGUUGCAAAGCAGCAACUUGUUGAGGGAGAGAUUGGGCUUUAGAAGUAUAAAGGCCCAAUCCAAGAAAGAAAGCCCAUCAACGGGCAGGCCUUAAAGCCCAUCAACGGAGCAGGCCUUAAAGCCCAAAAGCAUCAAAGCCCAGACGACCUCGCCGCCUUACGGGCCUGCCACGUCACCGGACCCAAGGGGUAAAACCGGUAAAAGCUGUCAGGGUACGCCCUAUUCCGCAGGGUUAUAAAAGCAGGACGACUAGUCCUGUCACAUCCAUCGAAAAAGACGCUGACACGGCAAGGACGCGAAGAGCUCGGCAAGGAUACAAAGAACUCGGCUAGGACACGAAGACCGAUCUCAAUCUAGAAAAGGAAAGCGACCUCAAUCUUCAUUCAGCUCGGAAAAGCGACCUCAAUCUUCAUUCAGUUCGGCCUCAUCGACGACCUGGAAUCCUUAAUCCGAAGUCAUCAAUCUCGGUUCGCCUAACGCCAUUUGAACUCUCGGCUCGAAUUGUUUUGGGAGAUUCUUUUUACUUCCCCAGAGAAACCCUAUUUCGUACUUGUGUGAUUCGUGCAUCAACAGUUGGCGCGCCAGGUAGGGGGAUAGCUCAGAGAUUUCUCCAGUCAACAAAACGAGCCCGCGACAACACGAUGGCAACCGAUGGAAACCAGGGAACCAGUACGGGCCUCCGAGACGACAACGCAUCCUCCACGGGAGGAGAGACGGUGACGCCGAUCCCGUUAGGAGCACUUCCGACAAGGAAGGCCACCCAUACCUCGGUAGCUAUUCCCGCAUCGCUACCUCAAACGCCCGAGGGGCCAGCGGAAGCAGCAAGGAACGAAACGCCCCCGGCACACCAGGAGGAAGGCGAACCGACCUCUCCCAGCAGACGACGUCCAACGAACCUCGAAGAAAACCGUGCAGAACGGCACGCUGCGGCAACAACUCCCGCCGAGCCAAACCGACUGCUCCAGAACAUCCUCGACCAUCUAGGUCGACAGGACGCACGAACAGAUGCUCGGUUCGCAUCUCUGGCCGCGGCUCAAGCGUUCUCCAUGGACGAGAUCAACCGUCUGCAAACGAGUCGGAGUGCAAACGCAGUCUACACUCCAGAACUCCCCGGACGUCCCCAGGCAGCUCAGCCCGUCCAAACCAUGGGCAGCACCAAUCCGCGAGAUACGGAGAUCGCCGAACUAAGACGCGCUGUCCUGGAAAUGAGUUCGAAAAUUCACCGUGCCACUAGCUCGGCUCCAGAACUCGACCGUGUGCUCGAGGAAACUCAGCAAACCGCUUUCACCCAAAGAAUCACAAGCAUCUCCGUCCGCGGAUCCAAGAAAAUCAAAUUAGAAAGGUACAACGGAAAAGGCGACCCUAAGGAAUUCCUGCAAUCUUUCAGCGUCGCGAUUAACCGCGCCGAGCUGACUCCAGAAAACUUCGAAGCAGGGCGGUGCCAGAUCUUCAUCGAACAUCUCACGGGCCCGGCUCUCAACUGGUUCUCCCGCCUAAAGCCAAAUACAAUCAGCAGCUUCAACCAAUUGUCGUCGUCUUUCCUAAAGCACUACUCACCUCUCAUCGAGAACCAAACGUCCAACGCCGACCUAUGGUCCCUAUCGCAAGGCCCCAAGGAAUCACUCCGAUCGUUUAUCGAUCGCUUCAAGGUGGUAGUAACCAAAAUCACCAUCCCUGACGAAGCCGCGAUAGUAGCCUUGCGCAACGCCGUCUGGUACGAUUCAAAGUACAGAGACGAUAUCACUCUUCAUGCUCCGAACACUCUCGAGGACGCACUUCAUAGAGCCUCGCGGUAUAUCGAGCUCGAAGAAGAGCGGCUCGUUCUAGCCAAAAAGCAUAAUCCGCCCAAAACAUCUGUAACCAAGGAGACUGCUUCGGCCAUACCUAACACGGCAAACAACGCCGAGCCAAAGCAACAUUCCAAAGGUAGCAUCGGCCAGGCACGACGACCUACGACCUUCGUCGUUAACAGCGAGACACCAUCACCAAGGCCGUGGAACAAGUACGUAAGGGACCCCGAUUCCCCGGCAUCGACAUCAAUAUUCUGUGAAUACCAUAAGAGUAGAGCGCACGCCACUGAAGACUGCCGGUAUCUACAAAGCUUGCUGAUGGCAAGAUAUAAGAGCGGAAGCAUUGCGAUCGAGUGCGAUCGCGCCCAAGGAGGUAGAAAUCAAAAGCGUAACGAAAGCACGGCUCGUCAAUACCUACAAGACCAUGCGAAAGCCGAGGAAGUCGAAGAUGCGAAUGAUUCCGCCAAAAGACCUCGGAAUGGAGAGGCGCCAGCCGAAGCUCCGGUGGUCGUCAGACAGGUCCGAAUGAUAAUGGGCGGACUGCAAAACUGCAACGAUUCGGUUCGAUCAAUUAAACAACAUCGCAAAAAAGCUGAAAUGAAGGAAGUAUGGCCGUCCACGAGCGCGCCAUCAAUUACGCCCAUCGACGAACCCAUAUCAUUUACCCAAUCCGACCUGGAAGGCGUCGACACACCGCAUAACGAUCCUCUCGUCGUCGAACUCAUUAUCGGCGAUAGCCGAGUAACUAGGGUGCUCAUCGAUACUGGAAGCUCAGUCGACCUCAUCUUCAAGGACGUUUUGGCUAUAAUGAAUGUCAGCGAUCGGCUAAUAAAACCCGUAUCGUGCCCGUUGGCCGGAUUCGAUGGUGACUUCGUAAUGACAAUCAGAACGAUCAAGUUGCCCAUAUUCGUCGGAGGAACGAUCUCGUGGGUCAAGUUCGUCGUAGUUGACAAGCCCGCAGUUUACAACGUUAUUUUGGGGACGCCCUGGAUGCAUCAAAUGCAGGCGAUCCCGUCCACAUACCACCAGUGCAUCAAGUUCCCAACGCAUAACAGAGUAUUCACCUUGAGAGGAAAUCAACAGAUCGCAAGAACAUGUUUUCUCAUCGAACACAAGAACCGCGUCACUAAGAAGUUAUAGCAAUUAACGACGCCAGCGUCAUCGACCGUCCCGACCCUGAAAAAGUCCCUCGAAGAGCCUCAGCUGAGCAGAACAGAACAAGUGAAUAUUGACGAGACGGAUAAGACAAGAUGCGUCGCAAUCGGGGCCGAGAUAGUACCAUCGGUUAAAGAACCACUCAUCGCGUUCCUAAAAAAGAAUUCUAAAACGUUCGCCUGGAGCGUAGACGACAUGAUAGGCAUCGAUCCUAUGAUCGUUACGCACGAGCUUAACGUCGACUCAACCUAUAAACCGGUAAAGCAGAAAAGGCGAAAAUUGGGAACGGAGCGAGCCAAGGCCGUAAAUGACGAAGUCGAAAAACUCUUAAAGGCUGGCUCGAUAACCGAGGUAAAAUAUCCGGAAUGGCUAGCGAACCCGGUCGUUGUGAAGAAGAAGAACGGCAAAUGGCGUGUUUGUGUAGACUUUACCGACCUCAAUAAGGCGUGCCCAAAAGACAGCUACCCACUCCCCCAUAUCGACAGGAUAGUUGAAGCGACCGCCGGGAACGAACUUCUGUCCUUCAUGGAUGCAUUCUCGGGGUACAAUCAAAUCCUCAUGCACAGAGAUGAUAGGGAAAAGACCUCGUUCAUCACAGACCGAGGAACCUAUUGCUACAAGGUGAUGCCAUUCGGCCUCAAGAACGCCGGUGCGACGUACCAACGUUUGGUAAAUAAGAUGUUCGCUGAUCAUCUCGGACGAACCAUCGAAGUUUACAUCAACGACAUGCUGGUAAAAUCUCUAGUAGCAGCCGACCAUGUCCGACACCUAAGCCAAUGCUUCGACGUACUGAACGAAUACAAUAUGAAAUUAAACCCCGCAAAAUGCACGUUCGGCGUAACAUCCGGCGAGUUCCUGGGGUACAUGGUCACACAGAGGGGGAUCGAGGCUAACCCAAAGCAAAUUCGCGCAAUCCUCGAUCUGCCUUCUCCAAAGAAUGCACGCGAGGUGCAGCGACUAACAGGACGGAUCGCCGCACUCAACCGCUUCAUCGCCAGAUCGACGGACAAGUGCUUACCCUUCUAUAACCUCUUAAAAAGGAAGGACAAGUUUGCAUGGGAUGAAGCGAGCGAAAAUGCUUUCAACGAACUCAAACAGUACCUCACGACGCCCCCGGUUCUCGCUAAGCCAGAAAACGGUGAAACGUUAUUUCUGUACAUCGCGGUAUCAAGCUCGGCCGUGAGCGGUGUGCUUGUUAAAAAUGACCGAGGCGACCAGAAGCCGAUCUUUUACGUCAGCAAGUCCCUUAUCGAAGCCGAGACACGUUAUCCCACAAUGGAAAAAGCUGCGCUAGCGGUCGUAACAUCUGCCAGGAAAUUACGUCCCUAUUUUCAGUCCCACACAAUCGCCGUUCUCACCGACCAACCACUACGAACCGCCCUACACAGUCCGAGCCAGUCCGGGAGAAUGGCUAAAUGGGCAAUCGAGCUCAGCGAAUACGAUAUGGACUUCAGGACCCGACCAGCAAUGAAAUCGCAAGUGUUAGCCGACUUCCUUAUUGAACUACCGCUCAUUCCAAAAAACCUAAGCGGCGACCCCGAGCCUGGCGACCCUCAGAACGGCGUCUGGAUGCUGUACGCCGACGGGUCCUCGUCAUCGCAUGGCUCUGGCGUCGGCAUACGACUGGUCUCACCAACCGGGGAAAUAAUCGAGCAAUCGUUUCGUCUGCGCUUUACGGUAACAAAUAAUGUCUCCGAAUACGAAGCACUCAUUGCCGGUCUACGCCUCGCCCUAGGAAUGAAGAUCAAACGAGUCCAAGCAUACGUGGACUCACAGCUCGUCGUAAAUCAAUUUAGCGGCGAAUACGAAGCCAAAAACGACACUAUGGAAGCAUACCUCAAGGUCGUCAAGAAGUUAUCCUCACAGUUUACACAUUUCGAACUAACCAAAAUCCCGCGAGGAGAUAACGCGCCGGCUGACGCUCUCGCUGCAUUAGCAUCCACGUCGGACCCCGACCUUCGACGUAUUAUCCCGGUGGAAAGCGUAGACCGACCAAGCAUCGAAGCAAUCGAUACUGUCAAUUUCGUCGGAACCAAUCACGAUCCGGACGCAGCCGACCCAACAGAUUGGCGGGUCGAAAUACGCGAUUUCCUCACCGAUGGAACGGUCCCAACGGAUAAAUGGGCAGCACGUCGAUUACGCAUCAAAGCCGCGAAAUAUACGACCUUGGAAAAUCGCCUCCUAAAGCUCAGCGCAACCGGAGCAUGGCUGAACUGCCUACACAGCGAGGAUAUCACAGAAAUAAUGAAGGAAACACACAUGGGGGCCGGCGGCAACCAUUCCGGCGGACGAGCUCUCGCAUUACAAAUCAAAAAGCAAGGUUUCUAUUGGCCGACUAUGAUAUCGGACUGUAAGGACUUCGCGGCCAAGUGCGACCAAUGUCAAAGACACGCGCCCUCGAUCCAUCGACCAACCGAGCUACUCAAGGUCGGUGCGGCACCAUAUCCAUUCAUGAGGUGGGCUAUGGACAUCGUCGGCCCGCUACCAGCCUCCAGGCAAAAACGGUUCAUCCUAAUCAUGACGGAUUACUUUACUAAAUGGGUGGAAGCCGAAUCGUAUGCGGCAAUACGAGCCAAAGAUGUCCAGAACUUCGUUUGAAAAUAUAUAAUAUGCCGACACGGCCUUCCAUACGAAAUCAUCACCGAUAAUGGCUCGCAAUUUAUCUCGCUGACAUUCGAGAAUUUCUGUGCGAACUGGAAAAUUCGUCUAAACAAGUCCACACCGAGAUACCCGCAAGGCAACGGGCAGGCCGAAGCGACCAACAAAACUAUUCUCGCCGGCCUCAAAAAACGCCUCGACGACAAAAAGGGAGCUUGGGCAGACGAGCUAGACGGAGUACUUUGGGCGUACCGAACUACACCCCGCAGUGCCACCACGCAAACACCAUUCGCGCUAGCCUACGGCAUGGAAGCAAUGGCCCCAGCCGAGGUCGGAUACUCAAGUCUUCGACGUUCUAUGAUGGCAGUCCGUCCCAACCUCAACGACCAGAUGAUGCUUGACAGACUCGACGAACUUGAGGAAAUGCGCAACACCGCACUAUGCCGAGUUCAGAACUACCAGCUUGCUGCCGCCCGAUACUACAACAAGAAAGUACACAACCGCCACUUCGACGUCGGCGACCUCGUACUCAGGAAAGUUUUCGAAAAUACAGCUGAACUCGGCGCCGGCAAACUAGGAGCAAACUGGGAAGGGCCGUACCAAGUCUCGAAGAUAGUUCGCCCCGGCGACUACGAACUCCUCACCAUGAGCGGCACCGAAGUCCCACGAACUUGGAACUCCAUGCACCUCAAGCGAUACUACUACUGACGACCUCGCUCUCCUUAUAUAUAAAAAAAAAAAAAAAAAAAAAAAAAAAAAAAAAAAAAAAGGUAGCUCGGCCUUACCGAUGCCUCUCUAUGUAAUGUGAACUACGAACGGCUUGAUCCCUCCGAUCAGAGGGUACGUAGGCAGCCCUGCUUGCAGGGCGCAGCUAUGAUAUUAAUAAAAUUUUGUAUUUCCAUCUAAUUUUGAAAUACAACCGAACCGAAAUAUACAUCGAUACCCUGGCCAGGCAAUUCGAUCGAACACGUUCGAACGAGAACGCACACCCUUACUUAAGUCUGCCAAAACAAGUAAAAAAGUCUUGGAAAAAACCUACACUUAAGGGUCUGAAAGCCGAGCUCCGUACUCGCAAAGCCUCGAUAAACUGGGUAGCAUAAGCCGGGGACGAACCCGCACUCCCAAAGAUUUAUCAGGCCAAUACAGGGUAAGCCGAUCACCGCGCGUCGCACCUCACGAUGUCUCGAGCCCGUCUCGAACACUCCGAGCAAACUCGGAAAAGCCGAAGUAGGUAAAACUUCGCACAAGCCAAGUCCAGCACUUGCAUCUUACCGACAGAAUAAACGUAUAGGCCGAGGACAGACUCACAAAUUCCCAACCGAUCAAGCCUACCAACAAUCAAAGUAACCUAGGCCUCGCAUCAGCUUGGUGAACUCGCACCAAGCCGAUCACGACCAGGUUUACACAGAAACCGGCCGCGUCCCGUCCUACACAGGAGCCGACCCCUGAAGAACAGGCUAAAAUAAAAGAAGGAAAAGAAGAAAUAAAUGGCGAAAACCACAUAAAAUAAGCCGACCUAGCGGCAAUCAUGUUCAAACAAACCGACCCAGCAAAAGUAAAGCUAAAAACCGAGUUAACGGCACGUGUUCAAAAGCCGACAAAGCGGCGACUAGAUAAAAAAAAAGUCGUCAAAAGCGGCAAAACGACAACUUUAAAAACGACCUCGCGGUCAGCCUUCGAUAUCAAUGUCCUCCCCGUCUUGGACAACCUGAGCUAACGGAGUAGCCACCCGCGGAACCUCCUGGCCGUCGCCAGUCUGCUCAGCGCCUGUGGCCUCGGUCCCAAAACCACCACCAUCCUGUAGUUCGGCCCCGGUCUCACGAGCUUCAACUGCGACCUCCUGCUGAGUGUCCUGAUUAACGGCAUCUUCUUCGACCUCGUCAUCUCCGACGAAGUCCCUUCCACUGGCAGCCGAAGCGGCAUACUGAAGGUUCUCAGUAACCUCGUUCCGGUCCGCGAAGAGGGUAUAGGCGUCAAAAUCGCCAUCCUGAAGUUCAGUCACGUCGAAGGCCGCAAGAUCAGCUCUGUACUGCGCCACGUCGGCCUCAACCCUGGAAAGCGUUUCCUCCGACUUAAUGACGACCUCGCCGUCUUCCACUAGAGCCUUCAGAAAACCAAGGUUCCCGACUGCCUGGUUGUAAAGCAGAAGAGUGGGCUGCGCGGCACGGGUAUCCUCAACAUGAGCCUGUAGACGGGUGAGACGAGCCUGAAACAGCCGGGCCAUCUUCGCAAGAGCUUUACCUCUACAGUACUCGCCGUACUCAGCACGACGUUCUCGCAGUCUAGCCUUUUCGGAGCGGAGGAUCACAGCGAGCUCGUCAUACCGAGCCUUCUCUGCCUCCACUUCGGCGCUCAAACGGUCCCUCUCCGCAAUCAGCCCAUUCCGGUGAUGAUCGAGAAGGUUGACCUUCUCCCUAAGCUUCACCGCCUCGUCCUUAACAGCACCCAACUCUCGCGAGACUUGAUCUACCCGCUCCUUCUCCGCAGCAAUGGCAGUCUGAUAAUCACUCGAAUUUGGGUUCUCGGUCGAAAGCCGACGAACUCGGCGCUCGUAGAGAUGAACCAUGCGGUUCAUCGCGAAAGUCGCCUGAUAAAAAUAUAUAUAAACAAUCGACCGAGGAAGGGUAACAAAAAUAUAUAUGCACAUAUAUAUAGUAAUAACCUCGCAUGAUUUCCUGGCCGCCUCGGUAUACGCAUCCCGCUCUCGAAGAUCCUCAAUUAGAGGGAACGAGCCGGGGCCAUGACCCAUCUCGCGGAAUAGAGCAGCACAGGCGUCAGCAUUAGAUGUAAAGGGAACAUCCCUAUCAACAUAGCGAUACGACCACCGGUGGUCGGCGACCCAAGGCCUCUUCUGGGCAAUCGGACGAGCUCCCGUAUCAGCCGGCCUCUUCCUGUUCAGAGGCUCGACUGAGCCACUCCGGGCUUCUACGGCCCGAAGAUCGUCACUUGGGGGAAGGAUUACAGCUCGGUCACCUCCACCAGCCUGCUGAGUUGAACGAGCUGCGAGCAUCUCGUUCUUCUUUACCCUCUCGGAGUUAGGGCUCAACGGUCGAGAACUUCCGGCCUAGAAGGCGUGACGCCCUCCUUGAUCUAAGAGACUCUUCUUCAGGGCCUCCCUCAUUUGUCGCUCCUCUGAGCGAGUAGGCUUUGCCACAGGAGUCUCCGUGGCCGGCCUCUUCUCCUUGUAACGACUGGCGUAAUCCGGAACCACACCAGGUCGAACUUACCCAUUGCUUUACGACCUAAAAUCAAAAAAGAAAAAAAAAUAUAUAUGAGCCAAGGGAACGAAAACCCGCAGAGGCGAACGAUAUAUGUGAUACCUGGUUUUGAUGGAGCGGAAACUUUGGAACUUUGACGAAUUGGCCCUCGACGAGAAGAACCUCGGCGACCGCGUGAAGGAUUCCAAGAGGGGCGGCGAGCAACCUUGUUAGUAGACGGCCAGAUAUACGUACCCUCGGCGCGAAUCUUUUCGAGAUCCUUCUUGAGCUGCUCGGGAAAUGGAUCAAAUAUCGUCGGGAAACGAGCUGCAUAAAAAAAAAGAAGAUAUAAGAAAAUCGAAAACAACCAAAGAAGAAGUGUGAGGGCGGAAGACGAGCUCAAGCUACCGGGUGAAAUUUUCCACCCUGUAUAGAUCGGAAUUCUAACGUCCUCAACAGAUUCUGCCGAAAUCCUAACAAAGAAGUAUCCCGCCGACCAGUCACUAGUUUUGCUCUUGGCCUCGUCGACAAGCUUAGGAGUCGUGGAUGACUGAACGUAGUGUAAGCCCGGCUUUUUCUUGCUGAGGCUCUUAAUCUUAGUCACCUCCUCGUAAUGAGAAGAACGAACAACCACGCUGCACCUACUCGCCAGCCGAACCAGGCCUACCGCAUUCCGGAUGGCAGCAACAGAAAGCUGAGAAAGAGCCAUCUCCCGCCUCGCUAAAUAUUCAAGCAGGAAGCCCGGAAUCGGAAAAGUGAGAUCGCAUUCCGUAAAGAAACUCUCAUAAACACAGAGGAAGCCGGCCGGAGCGGACCAAGGUCGCUCGAAUAAAGCCGAAAUGCGAGUUUCAAUCAAGGACGGAGCGUCACAGUAAUGGAGGGUAUACGCGAGGGUCUCAAAUGACGUCCGGGUCGGCCCCAGGAAGUCAACAUGAUAGGGAGACGGUUCGGGAACCCCGAAAGGCAUCUCAACGAGCUCAGGCUCAGCCUCCAGAUCGUCAAACUUGACAUCACCAAUAUCCUCAUCUCGGAAACUAGGAACGAAUGGAACGAUCGAGGUAGCCCCGACAAGAUCCCGUUGAGAGGGCGAAUCGCGACGUUGCAGUUCGGCCGCGAGAAUCGAGGAACCGGCGUCAGACGACCUCGACGAGUUCUGUCGACGAGGGGACGAGUUGGACUCCAGGUCGUCAUCAAAAGAAUUGGUUCGGAAUCGAUCAACGGAUGAUAUACGACCCGUAGAAUCAGACGAUGUACGAGAACGGAAGUGGUCGGAGAUAGAACCGUGAGAACUAGCGUCGGAAGACAUCGCAAUAAAACCAAAAAAAAAACGAGAUAAAGCGAGAGAAAACGAAAUAGAAAGGAGAAGAUUAUACCUUUAGCAGAGGAAGAAGAAUGAGAAACAGACGAGAGAAGAGGAAGUAUUUAUAGAAGUGGAAGGUGAUAAAUAAUCAUUAUACCUACGAAAUUAAGCAAUGAUUACGAGCUAAGAUAGCUUCACACGCGAAGGGACGCUUCGACCUCCAAACAUCGGGAGCAACGUCAGACGAAUCGAUUCUCGCGUCUCUCCCACGCGCGCGCGUCGCCGAAACUCGUAAAUCCGAAACGACGCGGAGAGAGGCGACCUCUUGCGUCUCUUGGGAAGGAGAAAAACAAUCAUGACCCUCGCAAAAAACGAUGAGUCAUGAUUGGGGGGCAACUGUUGAGGGAGAGAUUGGGCUUUAGAAGUAUAAAGGCCCAAUCCAAGAAAGAAAGCCCAUCAACGGAGCAGGCCUUAAAGCCCAUCAACGGAGCAGGCCUUAAAGCCCAAAAGCAUCAAAGCCCAGACGACCUCGCCGCCUUACGGGCCUGCCACGUCACCGGACCCAAGGGGUAAAACCGGUAAAAGCUGUCAGGGUACGCCCUAUUCCGCAGGGUUAUAAAAGCAGGACGACUAGUCCUGUCACAUCCAUCGAAAAAGACGCUGACACGGCAAGGACGCGAAGAGCUCGGCAAGGAUACAAAGAACUCGGCUAGGACACGAAGACCGAUCUCAAUCUAGAAAAAGAAAGCGACCUCAAUCUUCAUUCAGCUCGGAAAAGCGACCUCAAUCUUCAUUCAGUUCGGCCUCAUCGACGACCAGGAAUCCUUAAUCCGAAGUCAUCAAUCUCGGUUCGCCUAACGCCAUUUGAACUCUCGGCUCGAAUUGUUUUGGGAGAUUCUUUUUACUUCCCCAGAGAAACCCUAUUUCGUACUUGUGUGAUUCGUGCAUCAACACAACUGAUUCACAUUCUUUAAGCUGAGCCGCCUCAUCAACCACAAGAAGGUCGAUCGAUCCUGUCCUUACCGGAUUCAUAUCCGCAGCACCUGAUGCUGUGCAGAAGAUUAUAUCUGCAUUCUGUAGACAAAAUGUUUUUGUAUCUUUGUUUUCCAACAAGUCUGAAAUCUCAAAACGUUGCGGAAGUAAACGUAGAGUCUGAACGCAAUCAGCACUGAUUCUUUUAAAGCAAUCAAAUUUGAAACCUCCCUUCUUGAGAUCAUAUCUAGAAAAAUUCUCUUGCAAGAAAUAUCUUACGCGCUGAAGAACUUGACGAGCUGCGACCAUACUCUCCACUUGUUCAGACGAAACGAAAGACUUGGGAAGAUGAGUGUACAAAUCAACAAUAUUUUUCUCCAACUCUUCACUGAAGCCAUCAAAAGUCUUCUUUACAAACUCUCCAAAUGUAAGAAUCUUUACGGCUUUCGCCUUCUUUUCAGCUUCUUCCCUCAUUGUUUCGACUUCUUUCAAUAAGUCGACGUAAUGCUCGUACUUGGCCUCUGUAUUCUCAAGAAAGUUGAUCAGUGACUCUAAUCUCUGCUUCCAUCCAGAAGUUGGUGAAAACAGGUUAGCGAGUAUUCCAAUGCGCUCAUCAAGAAACACAUCGAGAAGAACAUCAUUCUCUUUAAUCCCCAUUCGAGCCCGGUUUCCAGAGAGAACAAUAUUCCCCAGCCCAUAAGUAGAAUGUUCUGGUGAAGAAGUUUCCUUAAAUAAGGACAUGGGCCUCGAUGUUACUUCUACAAUAGCUGUGUUUGUAGGAGCACACACAACUGUUUUGCACUUUAGCUUGAGAAGGCAAAAGAGAAGAGUUGCGACCGUCUUUGUUUUGCCAGUACCAGGAGGUCCCCAUAUCAGCUUCACACUGUGCUUGUGAAUACAGUUCCUUGUCUUAAGGCAGCUCAAGAUUGCAGCUUCUUGGGAAGAGUUCAGUUUCGCAGAACGGAUUAUAUCCGAAACACGGUCAGAACCAUCAGCACCAUUUGCACAACAAACAUAUUGUUCUGUUGCCUGCAACAUAAACAUAAAAUAAAGAUUUAUGAAUAUGCUACAAAAACAUAAAUAAAGAUUUAUGAAUUUGCUACAAAAACAUAAAAAAAAAAAAAAAGGAUUUAUGAAUUUGCUACAAAGAUUAUUUUAAAAAAAAAGAUUAAAAGAUUAUUGGUAUCACGUACCAGAGUAUUUUCCUGAAGCACACUCUUGAUUAGAGUUGAAUUGGCAGCUUCGUUGUGCAAAGCAUUCCAAAUUCGAGUGUUCGUUGUUAAAUUCAUGAGGAAAACACCAAACUGAAGUGAAGUCUCCUCGAGUUGGUGGUUCAGUUCAUGAUAAGAUAUCGAUCUAGACGAAUGAACAGAGAUUAUAAGAUCAUAGUCCGAGGAAACGUAGGCGAGAAGUAAAGGAUUCAAGACAUCAAUUCGUCUUGGCCUUUCCUUUGUUAGAGCAAUAAGAUCUCCACAUUUUGGCUGAUAGUUUGCACCAAUAGUACCCAAUGCAUUACUUAUUUUUAUAUCGUAGAAGAACUUGUUUGAUGAGCUUCCACUUGCUUCCUUUGUCUCCACGGAACAUAUUUGAAAGACAGGAGCUUUUGAUAAAGAUUUGAAGCUAGAAAACAACUCGGUCCGUGUUUCCUCAAGUAGAUGAGGAACAAAACACUGAAGGUAUUCAUCAACAGAUCUAAACCUGUCUGGUAUUGUCUUCAUCUGUUACAAAAUAUACAAUUGGUGAGGAAUAUAACGUAUAAACAUACCAAAGUUCAAAGCUAUAUAUCGAAGAAAGUUUUAGAAGAGAACAAAACCUUGUGCUUGUGGAGAUCUCUAUUGAGAAUAUCUUUGAUAGACCAAAAAUACUCUAUCGACCAGACUUGUUUUCUCAUAAUCAUGGUCCAUGGCCCUUCGUCUUUCUAUGAGAUUAUUCAUCGAAGCAAUAGCAAGAACUAUCCUGAGUUACGUUGAAAAUAACCCAAAUACGUAACUUGGUUUACAAGGCAAGAAAAUAGAAUGACAAGAAAAUAAUUUUUUUUAGAAGACAAGGCAAGAGACGAAGAAGACAACUCUGAAGUGAUCUCUCACUAUUAGUUUGGUCUACUUAUAAAGGAAGACGAAGGCGAAAGGUCCAAACAUAUUUUGGAAAUGAUCUUAAAUUCUAACAUUUUCCAAGAAAAUCUUGUAACUUGUUGAUAUAAUUAGCUUUUCUUUAAUAGUUUAUUUAAAUUAAAAUAUGAAGUGAUCAAUGAACCGAACAUGACACUUCUCAUGCAUAAAGUCUACAUACAGAGUUGGAUUUUAGAAUCAUUACUUUUGCACCCAAAAAAAAAAACAAAGAAUCAUUACUUUUUUUUUUUUUUCUUUUACUUUUACGAGAAAUUUAUUCAACCGUAAUGUUGUUUUUUCGCAUGGGGAAGAAGAAAGGUCGGGAGUUUUAGAACAAAGCAUUCAUGGUUGUGGACACAAGUUGCCUGCUUCUAGUCUUUUUUUUUUCUAAUAAUCAAACAAAAGGAUUGAGUUUAUAAUUUAGAGGAAGUUCUAAUUAAAUAAAAGCAAAUAUUAUAUGAUAAUUAUAAUUUUUUUUUUUUCUCAUUAUAGAACAUCAACCACAUUUACAACAUCUUCAUUCUUUCACGACAUCAAAAUAUUCAAGAUUCUCGAGGAAAAACAUGAAAAUCUUAUAUAGUUUUUGUUAAUAGAUACAUAUUUGCAUAAAUUAAAAUUUUAUAUGGAUAAUUGUUUUCUCAGAUUUUUUUUGUUAAGAGUUAUUAGGCGAGAAAACAACAAGAAAAUCGUUGCUCUGCAUGCAUGAUCAUGAAACGCAGUUGCAUAUUUGCGCCAUAUUUCCCGUCGACUAAUCUCGAAAUGUUUAAAAGCCUUCACAAAAUAUCGGGAACAGAUAAUAUUUUUAAGAUUCUUCUUAAUAACUUCCACAACGUAAAAUUGUUGUAAACGCUUUGUGUUACCAAACGGAGGCUCAUGAAUGUGAUCCCAUAUGUGGUUAUGUUUGCAUGUUCUACCAUUACCAAAAUCAGCUCAAAAAUUUAGAAGAACAAAUCAAUUCCCCAAAGAAUGAGUUGCGGACAUCAUUAGAACUGAUAAAAUGUCACAACAAUUAAGUCUUCCUAUGCCAUAUUGCUUUUUAACUACGAAUUAUUCUUUUUACAUGUCUUGUAUUGAGAAAAUACAAAAGCUAAACGAGGUUCAAAAGGUAUAAAGAAAGUAAAGAAAUCUAGGAAAAAUCAGUAGUAUUCAAUUUCUACGUUUAUGUUUUAGUGUUUUUUGGCUAACGUAUAUUGUUUAAUAUACGGAGAAAAAAAAAUUAAGUUAUACUCAGCAGAGUACAAAUAUCGUUGAAAAAAAAAAAAAAAAAAGAAGAAAAAAGUAUAAUUGGUUCUUAAGAAAUGUUAAAGAAAACAAAUCCGAGAGGUUCACUUUCGUUGGCUAGUUUAACUAUGCUAAAAAUAGGCGUUCUUAAGGAGUGAAAAAUAUAGAUGGUGACGUAAAUACCGCAAAACAUAUAUGUUUUAUUUCAUUUGAUAAACUAAUACGAAUAAAAAUUAAUAAAAAAAAAUAGUGAUGAUGAAGAAAAUGAAGAGUAAGCGAAAGACUAAAAUUGUUCCCGAAAUGACGCACGUCCACAUCUGUUGAAAAAAACAUCAGUCAUGGAUCUAUCGUCUUCUCUUGGAUCUAUCGUAUUCUCUCUCUAUCGAAGAUCAUUAUCGUUUGUUUUACGUCAAAUCUUGAUAUGAAAGAUUAGUUUGCAUGGUUAGGCAUUUCCCCAUCAAUGACGACCAGAGUGUCCUGCCUACCCAUUUUGGGUUUUGGCCGGGUAAUUCAACCACCCCGGGAGAGGUCACUAGUCGUGUCUUCUCUCCCAAACUUCCGGUGGUAUGCCGGCAACUUCAUAGUAAGCAACCGUUUGGAAUGUUCAAAGGCGAAAAUGCGAUGAACUAUGCAUUUUCGACUUUUUUAAUCGAAGCAAUCAUCAUCAUUUUCUGCAUCAAAUUCGUUAGUUUCGUCCUUCGACCUCUUCGCCAACCUCGUAUAGUCAGCGAGAUCAUUGUUCGUCACCGAUCUUAUAUUUGCUUCUUUUUGUAGUUGAUAAAAUCCGUUUUGGAGCUAAUAUGGACGUAAUGUGUUUUGUGUGUUUGAAGGGUGGAAUGAUGAUAGGACCAUCAAUGCUUGGAGGAAGCCGAAAUUUCAAUUACUAUCUGUUCCCACCGAUCGCGAACUACAUAUGCGCAAACAUAGGACUAAUGGGAUUCUUCUACUUCCUCUUCCUCACGGCCGCGAAGACGGAUGUUGCAUCCAUUGGGAGAGCACCAAGAAAGCACAAGUACAUUGCUGCCAUUGGUGUUAUCGUGCCAAUUAUCUGCGUGGGAGCCGUGGGGAUGGCCAUGCGAGAUAAAAUGGAUGAAAACUUGAAGAAGCCUUCGUCCAUUGGGGGGAUCAUGUUCGCCUUGGCUUUCACCUCUUUCCCUGUCAUUUAUUCUGUUUUGAGAGACAUGAACCUUCUUAACUCCGAGGUGGGCAAGUUCGCCAUGUCGGUGGCUCUCCUUGGAGACAUGGCAGGGGUCUACGUGAUUGUUAUUUUUGAAGCCAUGACGCAGGCUGACGGAGGAGGAGCAUAUGCUCUCUUUUGGUUUCUAGUAUCGGUGGUAAUCUUCGCGGCUUUUAUGCUUUUGGUUGUUAGACGAGCCUUUGAUUGGAUUGUUGCCCAAACGCCUGAAGGAACACUUGUGAACCAAAACUACAUUGUCAUGAUUCUCAUGGGUGUCCUUGCCUCUUGUUUCCUCACCGACAUGUUCGGUCUUUCUAUAGCCGUAGGACCCAUUUGGUUAGGGUUGCUGGUCCCUCAUGGCCCACCGUUGGGUUCGACGUUGGCUGUUCGGAGCGAGACCUUCAUCUAUGAAUUUUUGAUGCCUUUCUCUUAUGCUUUGGUGGGACAAGGCACCAAUAUUCACUACUUUAGAGAUGAGACAUGGCGUGAUCAGCUCUCUCCUCUCUUCUACAUGACCCUCGUCGGCUUCUUCAGUAAGUUUCUCUCUACCGCUGCCACUGCUCUCUUCUUCAAAGUCCCCGCUAGGGACAGUCUCACGCUUGGGUUGAUGAUGAACUUGAGAGGCCAGAUGGAUAUCUUGGUCUACUUGCAUUGGAUCGAUAAACGUAUUGUGGGCUUUCCAGGUUUCACUGUCAUGGUUUUGCAUUCGGUUGUAGUCACGGCCGUAUCGACGCCGCUCAUCAGCUUUCUCUACGAUCCCACUCGGCCAUACCGAAGCAGCAAACACCGCACCAUCCAACACACUCCUCAAAACACCGAGAUGGGACUGGUUCUUGCAGUCUCCAACCACGAAACCUUAUCCGGCUUGAUAACUUUCCUCGACUUCGCCUAUCCCACUAAAAGUAGUCCCUUGUCUAUAUUCGCAGUCCAGCUUGUGGAACUAGCAGGGAGAGCCACGCCGUUGUUUAUUGACCAUGAGCAGCGAAGGGAGGAGGAUGAAGAAGAAUACGAGGAGGAAGAAGAAGACCCUGACCGUACAACGCAAAGUGGGCGAAUAGACCAAGUCCAGAGUGCCUUUAAGUUGUACCAAGAGAAAAGAGAUGAGUGUGUAUCGCUUCGUGCCUACACCGCUCAUGCUCCAAAACGUCUCAUGUACCAAGACAUUUGCGAGCUGGCCUUGGCUAAAAAAGCCGCUUUCAUUCUCUUACCUUAUCAGAAAGAGCGUCUUGAAGACGCUGCCCCUACCGAGCUACGUGACUCCGGCAUGCUAUCUGUGAACGCAGACGUAUUGGAACACACACCUUGCUCUGUAUGUAUCUACUUUGACAAAGGACGGCUUAAGAACGCGGUGGUUCGGUUAUCCAUGGACCUACAACACUCAACAAACUCAAGCCGUAUGAAACAAGAAACAUACCGUUUCGUGGUUUUGUUUCUAGGAGGAGCUGAUAACAGAGAAGCUCUACAUUUAGCCGAUAGAAUGUCGACAAACCCGGACGUAACCUUGACGGUGAUCCGAUUCUUGGCGUUCAACCACGAAGGAGAGGAUGAGAGAGAGAAGAAGCUAGACGAUGGGGUAGUCACGUGGUUUUGGGUCAAGAACGAAGGAAACGAUAGGGUUAGUUACAAAGAGGUUGUAGUUAAAAACGGUGCUGAGACAUUGGCUGCGAUCCAAGCAAUGAAUGUCAACGACUACGAUCUAUGGAUAACCGGAAGAAGAGAAGGGAUCAACCCAAAGAUUCUUGAAGGUUUAUCCACGUGGAGCGAAGACCACCAGCUUGGAGUCAUCGGAGACACCGUGGCUGGAAGCGUUUUCGCCUCCGAGGGAUCGGUGUUGGUGGUGCAGCAACAAGUAAGGAACCAAAAAGGUGGUGAUGGUUUCUUGAAUGGCAAGUUUGAUUACAAGAGUUUCUUAUCUCCUUGGUCUCACUCUCAUAAUUGAUUAGGUUAAAUUUUUGUUUGAGGAUUCGUGUGAAUCAAAAACCAAUUGAUUAGGUUUCUUUUAGUUUGAAUAUCGUGUUGUAUAAUCUGUAUUAUUCAGUGGUUUCGCUUUUUUUUUAGUUGUGUCUAAAUUCGAUACACGACGUAAUAAAUAAAUUCCAAUAUAGAAGCAGCUUCAUUUCUGAAAAUAGGUAGAAAAACAUUUACCUUUCUUAAAAAACAUAUAAAAAAUCUUCACUUUUUUUUUUUUUGGAUUUUUAAACCCUUAUAUUUUCAUAAAUGGUACAAUAAAUCAUAUUAUUAAUAAACUCAAUUUAAAUUCAAACAAAUCUUUACACUAAAACAUAAAUAAAUAUAAACAAUUUGAUUUAGGAUUUUUCUUCUAAAAUUCUAGUUUUUUUAAAAAAAAAUUUUCUAAAUUGAAGUUUUUUAAGUCAUGAUAUAAAAAAGUUAAUUAAUUAAAAUUGUAUUCGGUUGUGUUACAAAAAUUUAUCAACCGGAAACCAAACAGAUUUUAUUACAAAUAAUAUAUAAAUUUUUGUAGCACAUAACCUUAAUUUUAGAAAGAAAAAUUGCAAAAAAACAAUUAUUUUUGAAAAACAGUCAAAAAUUAAAUUAUUUUUGUUUUUAACUGUUUUAAUAUAAAGAUUUUUAAAAAAUUAAGUUGAAUUUAUUAAUAUUAAGAUUUGUUUUCACUUAAGAAAAAAAUGAGAGUUUAAAAACCUAAAAAAAAAAAAAAGUGAGGGCUUUUGGGGAUUUUCUACACAUUUCCCCACAAUUUCACUUGCAAGUAGAGCUUUAGUAAUUUGUUAAAGGCCCAAUGGGCCGAUCAGACUAUUUCUAAGAAAAAUAACCUAAAAAGAGUCACCGUCGUCGUCGUCUGUCGACUCUGAAAUCCGCCGCUGCGCUUCCAACGUCGCCGGCAAUCUAAACAUUUUCCGGGAUGGAGGAAGAGAUGUCGAACCGUCGAGUGUCAAAUCGGACUCGUAAGGUCGCUACGAAGAUGGCGGCGGCUCUUACAAGCAAUGACAAUCGAACUCAGGUGAUUUCGGAAUCAGUUUUUGAUUUUUGUGUUGGGAAAAAAAAAAUUGAAUCGUCUUUCAAAAAUGAUUGAUUCUAGGCUGCUAUAGCUCGGCUAGAGGCUUUAGAGAAUGAUAAUGGUGCUAUUGAAGUGGUAGAUAUGAACGAUGAUGACGAAGCUUCUCUCGAUGAAGACGAUGAUCUCGGUGAAUAAAUCUUUCACAUUUGAAGAUAUCUCUCUGUGUGAAUAUAUAGUUUUAGUUUAAUCUCUGUUUUUUGGGUGUAGGUUAUGUACAGAAGAAGCAACACAAAGGAUCAAAGCGUAAAACUCGACAAGCGAAAGCUUUAGAAGCUCGUAGAGCUCCUAAAUCCUUCCUUGAGCUGUUGCAGGAGGUAACUAACUUAACUCGUUUGCAGCUAAGCUCAGUUAUUAGUAGUUUGGUUCUAAGAAUCAUUUGUUUUAGGCAAAUUUGGAAUCUUUACCUGCGCAUGUACCGACUUACUUGAAAGCAGCUGUUGGACCUCCGAGUUCGUCUUCUCGUCGUCAUUUCUGCUCGGUUUGUGGUUACAUUGCAGGCUACAAUUGUUGUUUAUGUGGGAUGAGGUUUUGUUCUAUUCGUUGUCAAAACAUUCACAAGGAUACUCGUUGUCAGAAAUUUGUUGCGUAGGAAAGAGUGAAAACAUAUGUAACAUAUUUUUCUAAAUGUAUUUGAAACAUCAAUCAAUCUCCAUGUUCCUGUCAUGAAUUUGUUUUCAAAAUGAAAAUAGCUAAGGAAAGCAGCUAUCUUUCUCUGAAGUGUUAUUAUGAUUAAAGAUCAAACAUGGGACAUUUGUUGCUUGAGAGUUUCCAGUAGCUUUCUCUUUUAGAUUCACAGCUCUGGAGAAAGUCACGGAGGACUCUUUCUUGCGCCAUGGCUGUUUUACAUGCUGUAUCUGCCGUGCUCCAUAAUUUCAGUGCUUCAAAGAUGUGAUUUGCACCGUAUGAUUGUUUGCUAGAUGCAAUGAAACUCUCUAGAACCCCAAGAACCAGUCUUGGUCCUCCUGUUGCGUCUCCAUCUCUCUUCAGAGUUGACAGAAACAAGAGUUUUUGGAGCAGAGAAGAGUUGUAUUGGAGAAAUACUCGCGCAGGCUAUAUGCACACCCUGUUAUUAGGAACAGUGAAGAGUGGAAAGUGUUUCUUCAGGUGCAAGGGAAGUUGCCACUACCAAUGGGCACUAAUGUGGCCUCUAGGAUGUUGGAUGGCGUGGUGAAGCUUCCGAAACAGUUGUUUGGUGACGGCAGAGCCUCUGCCGUGCCAGUGCAUGAGGUAGUUCAGCCUGCCAGAGGAGGUAGGGAUAUGCUGAGAUUAUUCAAGGAGCUGAUAAACCACCAGUUGUAAAAGAAGAUAAAGAAUUUUUUGGAAAAGAUGGAGAAGAUGCAUGAUGUUGAGCAACAAAUAUCAAUGCCUCACAACAGGUAAAAUUUCAUCCUUGUUACUUGAAUUAUGCAUCAUUCUGUUAGUACAUACUAGUAUACUGCUAGGAACAAACCUUUUUGCGGAUUCUUCUGUAGACAGAAUCCCGUGAAGGCACAGCAAGACAUGAACUAGGAUUAGCAUUUUUAUUAAGCUGACUAAGUUGGAGAACGAAGAAGCUGUUUCCAACGCCCAAAGAACUCGUGCUAAUGAAAUCAAGAAUUUAGCCACUGCGGCUGUAAAAGCAAGCAGAUUUUAUAGAGUUGAAUUCCCAGACUGUCAAACAUUUGGUAAAUAUCUAUUGAACUACGAAAACAUACAGUUGCAUCAUUACUCUGAAUCAAAUGAAAUGUUGUUUUCUUUGAUUUCUAAAAUCUCCUCAUGCUUAGCGUGCAUCCUUAUUAUAGACUAGUGAACUGUCGGCUUAUAUAUGGAGAUUUUGCUGGACUGUAAGCUUCCCUAAGAGCUGUUCUUUGAUUUGAAUUGUUCAUUUCAGGACAGACUCCAUGAGUACCUUGACAUGAUGAUGGCUGUCCAAGGCGCAUUUGCAGAGGGUGCAUCAUCAAAGGUAUUUGGUGGUGACAAAUCAAGGAUCUGAGGAAGCAAAAACCGUUGCCAUCACAGAGUAUGAGCGGGUCAAGGUAUUCAGUAAUAAAACCCUGCGCAUAUCACAACUUGUGCUGAUGUAACCAACAGCAGCAUGAUAUGCAUUUUUUGGUUGUGCUCUGGGUAAAUUUCUAUCACUGCAGAAAAACAACUGAUCUGGGGUUGAGAGGUUGGACAGAAAAAGGCGUGCAGACUUCAGGAACAUGAAGGGUUUUGUUGUUAACCAGGUACGCUAUCACUAUGCAGCACAUUACCAUUAGAAGGUUAAGCCUUUCCUUGUUGCCAAUAAAAGUUUGUCUGUGUAGAAUGAGUAAGAAUGCUAAGGAGAUUGUUAAGGUUAAGCAUAAAGUGUUUGCUUCCAUAAUUUCCAUUCUUAGUGAGAUUUCAAGUGAAGAAUUUGAAAAAGUAAAAUAAUAAGAUGUCAUUCUUCUAGGCAAAUGAAUAGGAAUAAUAAUUUAUAAAUUUGGUAGUGAUCGAAUAGAGUCCAGAAUGUAAAAAGAAAGAGUUGUGUUCUUGAAUUGGAUGUAGAGAAACUAGGAAACGUCUGGGAAAAAGUUGCAGAAGAAACCAGCCAAUACGAUAGAUAGAGAGACAAGCGCUAGAGAUAAAUUUUCUUAUAAACCACUUCGUUUCAGUGAGUUUGAUUGAGAGAGAAAUUGAUCCAUUGAACUUGAACCAUCAUCUUACUCAUAAACCGGCCGGUUAAUCCCCUGCCCGGUUAGCAACAAUAAGAAGCGAGACCAACAUUAGACUAAUAGCAUACAGAAGACAAUUCGUAUUUUUUCAUUUUUUUUUUUUGUUUUUAAAAAGUGACAUUUUAUGUAAAUUGGUGAAACUAGGAAAAAAAGAAAGAAAAACUCUUCGAAUUCUAGCUAGACCUUUCGACUUCUUCCUUACAUAGACCGAGCAACUCACUCGGCUUUUCACUCUUGUUUUUAUGUACCAAUCUUUGGCUUGUUCUUUGUCAUAAUAUCGCAAGAAAGAAAGUUAGUAAACUUCAAAGAUCAUGGACAAAAAGGAGAAAACAGGUCUACUUGAUAGAAUCUUUUCUUGGUCUAUCAAAGAUAUUCUCAACAAAGAUCUCUACAAGCAAAAGGUUUUUCAUUUCUUUUAACCCUUCUUUCCUUGGAUGACAUCUUAUUUGGUACUUAAAUUGGAUAGUCUAUUUUUGUAACAGAUAAAGACAAUACCAGACAGGUUUAGUUCCACUGAUGAAUACUUCAAGUGUUUUGUUCCUCACCUACUUGAGGAAAUGAGAACCGCGUUAUGCUCAAGCUUCAAAUCUAUAUCGAAAGCUCCUCUCUUUAAAAUAAGUUCCUUGGAGAAAAGUACACAUGAAUCCAGUGGAAGCUGCAACAAUUUUCUACACACUCUAAAACUAAUGGAUGGAGAGAAUGAUGCAAAGUACCAGCCACAUUGUGGAGAUCUCAUUGCUCUCACGAAAACAAAACCAAGAAGUUUCCGUGACUUGAACCCGUUGCUUCUUGCCUAUGUUUCUGUGGAUAAUCAUCCCAAAAUCUGGGACGAAAAAAGAGAAAGGCAUCCAAAUAUCUCUGUUAUUUUGUCUAGAUUAAUGUCCCAUGAUGAGAAAGUUUCACUUGGUUUCGGUGUUUUCCUCAUGAAUUCAACUACAAACAAUCGUAUAUGGAAUGCUUUGCACCAUGAAGCUCCCAACUUUGAUUUCAUCCAGAGUAUUCUUCAGCCAAAUACAGCGGUAUGUAUAUAAGAAAUGGUCUUGCUUCUCUUGAUUUUAAAUGAUUCAUAUCAAACCAUAUAACUACUGUCUCUGGAUGUCUAUCAAGUCUAGCUCGAACGUAAUCCCUUUAGUUCAUGGAUCCACCAGAAAGUUUUUGUUUAUCAAUUGUGAAUUUGUUAUAUUUCAGGGUAUCAAACAAACUGUUUCGUCUAGGAAUUUGGGACAAAAUGUUUUGGAUAUAAUCCGUUCAACGAACUUGAACUCUUCCCAAAAAUCUGCAAUCUUGAGCUGCCUUGAGACUAGAAACAGUAAACAUAAGAACAGUGUGAAACUGAUAUGGGGACCUCCUGGAACAGGCAAAACAAAGAUGGUUUCGACUCUUCUCUCUGCCCUUCUCAAACUACGGUGCAAAACAGUUGUGUGUGCUCCUACAAACACAGCUGUUGUAGAAGUAACAUCGAGGCUAUUGGCUUUAUCGAAGACUUCUUCAGAACAUGCUAGUUAUGGAUUGGGGAAUAUUGUUUUAGCUGGUAACCACAACAGAAUGGGGAUCAAAAAUGAUGAUGAUCUUCGCAAUGUGUUUCUUGAUCAUCGCAUCAGUAGUUUUCAGAAACUGUUUUUGUCACCUUAUGGAUGGAAGCAGAGAUUUGAGUCAGUGAUACAUUUUCUUGAAAACACAGAGGCCGAGUUCAAGGAAUAUGUACGCGGAUUAAAAAAGAAGGAGAAGAAGAAGGAAAAAGUUGAAAAGAAGAAGGAAGAACUUGAAAACAUGAAGGAAGAAUCUGAAAAGAAGAAGGAAGAAGUUGUAAACAUUCCAACAUUUGGAGAGUUUGUAAAGAAGAAGUUUAAUGGCUUAAGUGAAGGAUUGGAGAAAGAUAUGGUUGAUUUGUGCACCCAUCUGCCUAAGUCUUUGAUCUCGUCUAAUGAUGUGAAGAAAAUGAUAGAAGCUCGCCAAGCUCUUCACCGUGUUAGAUAUUUCUUGCAAGAGAAUUCUUCUACGUUUGAUUCCAAGAAGGGAAGUUUCAAAAGAAUCAUCAGUGUUGAUUGCAUUCAAGCUUUAAGUUUGAUACCGAAACGAUUUAAGGUUCCAGAAUUGUUUGAAAAUGAAGAAGAUAUUAGGAAAUUCUGUCUACAAAACGCGGAUAUAAUCUUCUGUACAGCCUCAGGUGCUGCAGAAAUGAAUGGUGAAAGGACAGGAAAUGUAGAAUUUCUUGUGGUUGACGAGGCGGCUCAGCUUAAGGAAUGUGAAUCAGUUGCUGCAUUGCAACUUCAGGGACUGCGUCAUGCUGUUCUACUAGGAGAUGAGUUUCAGUUACCUGCAAUGGUUCAUAACGAUGAAUGCGAAAAGGCGAAAUUCGGAAGAAGCUUGUUUGAGAGAUUGGUUACACUUGGUCAUAGCAAACACUUGCUUGAUGUUCAAUAUCGAAUGCACCCUUCGAUUAUUAGUUUCCCUAAUAAAGAGUUCUAUGGUGGGAGAAUCAAAGAUGCUGCUAAUGUUCAAGAAAGCAUUUACGAAAAGCGAUAUCUUCAAGGAAACAUGUUUGGCUCCUUCUCGUUUAUCAAUGUAGGUCAUGGAAAAGAAGAGUUUGGUGAUGGGCAUAGUCCCAAGAACAUGGUUGAAGUUGCUGUGAUUUCUGAAAUCCUAUCAAAUCUUUUCAAAGGUAUAAUCUUUCCAUCUUUAAUUCUAUAUCAGUAUAUAUUAGGCUGUUGCAUUGUUCUUUUUAAUUAAUUUUGCUUAAUUAUGAAACAGUUUCAAGUGAAAGAAAGAUUAAUAUGAGUGUUGGAGUGAUUACACCUUAUAAAGGACAAGUGAGAGCAAUCCAAGACAGAAUCAUAGAUAAGUACAGUUCCUUAUCAGGUGAGCUUUUCACAUUGAAUGUUCGGUCGGUAGAUGGGUUUCAAGGUGGUGAAGAAGAUGUUAUCAUCAUCUCCACCGUUAGAAGUAACUGUAACAGGAAGGUUGGAUUUCUCAGUAACCGUCAAAGAGCCAACGUGGCGCUCACUCGAGCUAGACACUGUUUAUGGGUGAUUGGAAAUGAGACAACACUAGCUCGGAGUGGUUCAAUUUGGGCGAAACUUGUAAGGGACUCGAAGAGACGUAAAUGCUUCUAUGAUGCUAAAGAUGAUAAGAGAUUGAGAGAUGCCAUGAAUGAUGCUUUGCUCAAGGUUGACAAGUCUGAUGUGUGUGCACGUUUAAGUAAUCUUUGGAUCAAAAAGAAAGGGAGAAAAUGAAUUAUUGGUACUUCAUUUAUGUCAUUCUUCUAUGUAAGUUUUUCCAACAUUCUUUUGUCUUUCGUGUUCUAUGUCAUUGCAUUUAUGGUAACAUUUGUGAUUAAUGGUUUGUGUUUUAAUGAUUUGGCUGGUUUGGUUUCACACCUUAUGGUCUCACAAGUGUUGUUAUACGAGUUCAACCAAAAAAAAAGUGUUGUUAUACGAGAAGAAGAGGAACAAAAUACUAGAAAAGUUUAGUUACCUGAGACAACUAAUAAAGGUUCUUAUGUUUAUGACGAGAGUGUCUGUCUAAUACAAGCUAAAGUACGCCCAAAAGUUUCAGGACCCAUACUUCACAAAUAUGAUUAUGUUUCUUUCUAAAAACGUCAAAAUGAGAGAGAUGCGAACGAAUGGCAUAUAAAGAUCAGUGGAAGUGUCUUCAAACGAAAACAAAGGCUCCCGCAAUGUAGCAGGAUAUAGGAUCUACACCCAAACAGCUUCUAGAGAUGGGUCGGGUUUUGCGGGAAUGACCCACCACUGCCUUCACCAUGAUCUCCCAUUUGCUGCACAUCUUCCGGCGAUAGUAUCUUUAUGUACCAAACGUUAUUCACAAAUGACCUGCAUGCCACAAGCUUUUCAAGAUCUAUCACAAAUUUAAAUCAAUGUAUAUGAAUAGAAGAAAAGUACUUUACUUACUCCCACGGGUCAUCGCCAAGGAGAAGAAUAUCAUUUUCCUUGUCAACGAAUACAAGCUGCCAGCCUGAUCUAAGGGGGUCUUCCAACAACCCUUCGAUAGCAAACAUCUUCCCUAACUCUUCUCGCAGCUCGUGAUAGCUGCUGAAUCGGGAGAUGUCUAGUGAACGCCCAACCGAACCAGAUUUAUAAACCUGCAUUUUUGGAUUUGUAAGCAUAUCAGUAUUUUCUUAGAGACACCAGAGCCACAGAGAAGUUGGUGAGCCCAGAACCAACCAGCACACCUUUACAAAGUUCUUGGUUUGGGUGGACGGGUUAAUCUGUCCAGCUCCAUGCAAUAACUCAUGAGUGUCUUGCAUGCAGCCAAAUAAGGAAUUCUGAAAUCCUGAAUCUGUUAGUGACAUAGGGGAAGCUUCAGCAUCUCCUGAUGAGGAAGCAAAGCGAGGAACCGUACUGGGGAGGAAGAGUCCAGAGUCAGGAUCAACACCAAAAAGAGAGGGAUUUCCAGGUUCUAGAGCAAGACUUUUCCCAGGAUAGGCUUGUGGAAGUGACAACGGUUCAGAAAAAGUGUUGGAUGCUUUUGGAGACCAACCUUCUGUUGUUAACUGCUCAGGCAGUACAGACUGACCGGUUAUAGAAAAAUUCAAAAGAUUGCUGCCAUCUCCAGAAGCCGGAGAGGCAGAGUUCUGUUGCAUUGGACUAGCAGUUGUUGCAAAUUUGUUGCUUGAGUCAGGAAAAUCUGACUUCAUGAAUGAAGGUGACGGCAUCUCCGAAUGCUGCCACUGUUGAAGAUGGCCAUUUUGCAUUUUGAAAGCAUUAAGAUAUGCAUUUUGGUCCGCUUGCUGUAGCUGCUGCUGUCCAGCUGGUUGGUUACUAACUUCUUGUCGCAUAUUCUGCUGCGGAAGAUUCUCACUCAUAAUCUGGGAUUGAGCAUGCAUGAGAUGGCGCGCUUGUUGAUGCUGCUGCUGCUGAAGCAUCAAAUCAGGAUUAUGGGAAGCUGACUGUUGAAGAUAUUGUUGGUGAGGCUCUUGCAGCUGGACAAACUGUUGUCUAAGAGGAUCUCCACCGCCGAUGUUCUGCAAUCCAGCAGCUAACAUUGCUUGGUAUUGCUGAUUAUUAUCAGUCCCCAUUUGAGUGAGAUCCAGCCUUUGUUGCAUCCAUGGAAACAAACCAACAGAUGGAUAAUUUAGAGGAAGCAAACCUUGCUGCUCUCCACCUCCUCCUCUUAGCCAUGUUAGACCACUUCCUAAAUCACCCCUUCCAUCUGUAACAUCAUAAUGGUUUAAGUAAAUAGCUAAGAAGAGUAACUACACUUUGUAAAUAAAUUAUAACAGUAAGACCCUCUUCAGAGCUCGUAAUACAUUUCUUAUUUAUCCGAACUAGCAACUAAGUUAACAAAACAAAAACUGGAUAUCUGAGUGACAGUAAGAGACUUCCGGAACUUGCUACACUAGUUAAUAACAGUUAGGAGAAGAGCCAAAAGGUGGAUACCAGGUAAUGAUGAUGUGCCAGCAUGCCAUGGACGUUUUAGUCUGAGAGGAAACAGAGAUGGAUACAUAGGAAAGGUAGUAAGAGGCUCAAUCUCCCAUAAAGAAACCCUUGGCUGUCUCUCCCCUGCAGUCGAUUCAUCCCAGCCAACCUACACCAAUAAUGCCAAUGUUGAUGGAAUUUCAGUGAAAUAUUGGACUAUCAGAAACCUGUGGCGUUUCAUGGAAUCUAAAUGAGGUAACAGGCUUAAUAGUAUUACCUUGACAGACCGCCAAUGAGAGUUUGGCCAACGAACAGAAUCUAGAUCACUGAUACCAGUUAUAGUACCCAUGUACCUGGAAAGUUCCCCAUGCCUCUGUCAGAAAACAUGUUAAAGUAAUAUGUGUAACAUAAUGAUAUAGUUUUCUCAGUUUCAACAUUGCAUGUCCAGAUAUGUGGCAUCAUCACCUGCGGACACUCGACUCUUCUGUCUCGAAGAGCAUGCGAAAGCGCAUCCCAACUGAAAUACGCGUGUGAAAAACGGCUUUAAUGUACUUGGAAAGUUGUAUCACAAACUCAGAUUGGCUAGCCCUGAACAUGAAGAGAAUAUUAGCCGGAUGUAUUAUCGGAUAUACCGAGAGAUGAAAAAAGAUGCAAGUGGGAGAGAUUUUCCAACCUUGGAUGAAAGAAAACAGUGAAACAGCUAUUAGUUGCAGAAGCAUGUGCAGCAGCAGCAAGGAGUCCAAUAUGCAUGCUAUCACUAGAUAAAACAGAUGAUGGUACAAUAGUCUGUGGCCGAGUGGCAUGACGUAUUCCCAAAAAGAGUUGAUUCUUUUCAUUCCUGGAAACAAGUAAUAAGGUUACAAAUAUAAUCACAAUUUACAAAGUGAACGUACAACAAAAGAACUAAACCUGAUGAAAAUGACAGAAUCUCCAGCUACUAGUCGCUUAGCACUGACAAAGACACUCCAUCCAGUAGUUAGGAGAUGCCGUUUGGGCUGUCCUGCAUAAUCACACCAAAUCCAUGUAAGUAAUUGCUUUCAGACCAAGAAGAAGGAUUCAAAUCAACUGGCUUAAUAUGAACAAGUAAAUAAUUCCAGACAACGACAAGAACACAGAGCGUCCGUAGUUUCUAUAACUUAACCAAACAAGGGUAGUGAAAAUAACAGCAGAAUGCUGCUUCAGGACAUACUUAAUAAACCAGUUGACAUUUUUACACUGGCGACUACAGUUAAAAAGAAUGUCAUCGAAGUAGUAACCAACCAAGAUAGAACAAAUCUAUGCUAUUAAAGGGAUCAUCAACUCACACCAAGGAAAGGUGAAACCUACCCCGAAAGAUAUGCCUAAACUUCCAUUCAACAUCAUGGAGAUCCCUUGCAAUCAGUUCUUGAGCUGGUGGCUGCAGUGUGUAAUCCUGCAACAGGGAAGAUACAAGAUAUCAAAACGAGUACAUAUAUUGCCAAUAACAAUUUAUAGCAAGUAAGCUAAAGAAAAAGUAUUAUACCAAUGGAGGAAAAACUUUCUCAGCAGCACGUCUAGGAACAGAAAACCCUCCAUGUGUACUAGUAUCACUAGCUGUGAGAGUCUUACAGAAAUAAUUGCUAGGUUGCUUGCUCGGGAUCCCCAACUCAAUCGGUACAAAUGUUUCCUUCUGCUCCUCCUAUAAACAACACCAAUUCUAAAACUUUAAGUUACUUAUUCACAGACUCAACUAAAUGAAAAAAAACCCGUUAUGGUAUCUACCGGUGUCAAUGGCUGAAGUGUCAUUUGAGCAUAGACUUCAUCCGUCUCGACAUCUGCCUGAAAAGUAGAAACGAAACCCAUACUUACAAAGCACAUCAUCCCAAAACUAGUUACAAAAGUAAAAUUGAAGUUGGAAAAGGACAGGGAACUAACUACGCACAUGCAUUGUAACAUUAUGGAGCUGGCAUAUCAAUUGUGGUGGUAGGCUUGGGUAAUUGGGUAUGUGACCAUCAACUUCCUUAUUAGUUGUAGCAGCUACCUACAAGUACACUUCAAUUUAAAUGGAAAUGCCCAAAUAUAAACAAGAGUAAAAAAAUAAAGCUCCAUACUUCACACAAAGAAAAAAAAAACCAAUCUUAAAACACAAAAGAAAAGCUUGAACCUGUUCACUGUGACCCUGUGGAAAGUAAACAACUCGACUACCAGAUGAUGGAAGAGAGACUAAUGGUCCAGCACAAGCAUGCCAUAGCUCAGAAUUCAGACACUUCUCUCCUGUUAGAAAACACAGACACAAGAACUAAGAAAACUUGUCAAGAAACAGAACUAUGAAAUCAGAGAAAAACAAGUCACCUUCAUGACCCUGUUGACCCAAUCCAGAUGUUGACAGCUUCAUGAUUUGAAAACCAAACUUUUGAAAACCCUAAUUUUCCGUACAAACUAUAAAAUUAAUCUUCACUUCCAGCUACUACAGUAGCUAUAACUCUUUAGCUCCGGAAGUACAAACUCGUCUUUCUCCAUCUCCUUUGUUCAAACCCCAAAAAUCCUCACUCACCAUAAGACUCAGUGAAAGCUUUGAAUCAAACCAUCCAUAAAACCCUUAAACACAAGAAACAGAACAAACCCCAUUUCUUCAAAUCAAGAAUCUGUUUCUUCUCAUCAUCAAACCAUGAACAACAACACAAGCUCUACUAGUACAAGUACGCAUUGAGAAAGCAAACCCAAAUGAAAAGUUCUUCUCUUUGAGAUCUUUGUGAAGAGAAAUGAAAGAAACAAGACAAAAGAACAAAUCUUUCCUCUUCAACUUGGCUUGGCUUCUCUCGUGGGUAAGUAAAUUAAAUCUCUUGAAGCAGUUCCAUCACUGUCCAAGAGAGACACUUUGGCUUUCAAAAACAGAAAAGAGAGAAAGAAAUGGUUAGAUAGAGAGAGAAAAAGAUAUGUGUCAGAGAGAGAAAAAGAAGAGUGCGUGGGGGUGAAAGAGAGAGAGUGAGUGAGUGGUUUUCCUCUUCUUAUAAGAGACCCGACCCGAUCUGACCCGACCCGGAUUUGACCCGGAUCCGACACAGUUGAGAGAAGAAAGAGGAAGAAGAGAGAGUGAGAGAGGUCCUACUAACGAGAAUUAUGAGAGGUGGUGUCAGUACCAGAGUCACUUGUUUCUGACCGUUGGAUUUGACUCUUGAGAUCUUGAUCGUUGAAAAUUAAUAAUUGUUUUUUUUGAGGUCUUGGAUUCGAUGAAAAGGACAAUGAAUUAUAGUAUUUGAAGAGAGAGAGAUAGAGAUAAUAGAGUUGUCAUAAAUGUUAGCGUUGUUUAUUUAAUUGUAUUUUAUUUUGAUCCAUUCAUUGAUGAAAGAAACACCAAAUAGGCAAAUACUCCCAUAAUUUGUUUUUUUUUUUUUUUUGGGAUUUAAAAUUAAAUUGUAUUAUUAUUUACAAAGUUUGGAUCUUUUUAUGAGUCGUUGAGAAAAAUGGUCAAAGGUUAUCUAUUGAUAUAAUUUGUAUAUUAUUAGUUUUUCAAUUCUAAAUUCUAAAUUAGAAACAAUCAUUAGCAAAUAGAUGCCCAACCAACAAUCCAACAUUUUUCGGAUACUAUACUUACGGUACCCAAAAAAAAACAAAUAGACAUGGUUCUUGCUUGAGCAAUACCGAUGGAAAUUUUUUAUUCGUUUGUCUAUCGAUGGCAAUUUUAAUCAAUCUACAACAAAAUUUUAUUCGUUUGCAUGUUGCAAUAUCGUGUGAUACGUCGCAGUGAUUUAUAUAACCCAACGGUUGAAUUCUUUUGUUGGGAAAAUGUUUGGCAAGUAUACGAAAGACGUCAUCACAUAAUCACACAUGCAGAUUUUAAAAAUGUUUUGUUGGGUCUGAUUGGUAAUAAGCUGUUAGCUGUUAGCUGGAGCUGUUAGCUGUUAGGGAAUAGUGUAAAGCUGUACAAAAGAAUAAAACAUGAAAGCUGUACAAAAAAAUAACGCAGAACAAAUUUUAAAAAUUUACUCUGAUUAGAAACAUCAUAGCGGUACACAUAAUAAAUAAUAUUAAGAAUUUAGAAAGAAAAAAAAUUACAUAGAAAUGUACUUUAGUAUAUAUUACAUAUGAAAAUUAAGAUUAUAUAGACUGAACAAUAUUUUAUUGUUAGAAUAAUAAUAUGAAUUUUACUAGUCCUAUAAUAAAUAAAAAAUUUCUUCAUUUUGAGCAAUAUAAUAUUCCAAAAUAAUUAUUUGAGAAAAAAACCAUUAUUUCUAAUGAGAUUUUUUCAUAGGCUGUAUUAUUUACUUUUUCGGAAAUCUUUAUCUGAACAUUCGAGACUUUUUUUUUUGCAUUAUACAUAGUUACAAUUAUAUUUUAUAAAGUUUAAUUAUGCGGUUAAUAAUACGGUUAACCGUGCGGCUAAUCGUUCGGUUAAAUAACGGUUUUGAUACGUUUCCUGUAUAUUAACGGUUACGGUUAGUAUAUUUUUUUAACCAUAACUAAUCUAGUUUUACGGUGAAUGGUUAUGAUUUUUAACCGUUUUAUACAGUUACGGUUGAAAAACGGUCCAGUUACGAUCCAAAAUACGGUUACGAUAAAAAUUUAAAGAGUAAAUUAAUUCAGCUCAUUAAGGAUAAACAAGUCAAAUACUAAUUUAUGCAAAAAAUGACUAACAUAUAAGAUCUGAUAUCUUACCAUAUUAAUUUGUUAUUAAUCAUUAUACUUCACCUCUCAUCUUUAUAUGAUUCUAUUUUUAUGAAACAAAUAAAUCAUCAUAUCAUCAAUAUAACAAAAAAAGUAAAUUUUUUCUGCAUAUGCCAAGAUUUUAAUUUUUAAAAAUGAAUAUAAAUUGUUACAUCUAUGAAGAAAAAAAUUUAACGGGUCUAAAAUUCACAUUUGAGUAAUAUUUUUCUUUUAACCAAAAAUAAGUUCAACAAAAUUACGACUGAGUAACGGGUUAGAAUUUGAAUAUUUAUAUUCAAUUUCAUAAAUUUAUUUUAUGAAAUGUAAUAUUUUAUAUACUACAAUAAGAUUUUUAAAUAUUAUAAUUUGCAACAUAUAAAAUUAGUUUUACUUGAUAUUUUUCAAGAAUAUCAUCAAUAUUUAAAGAAUAUCAUCAAUAAAUACUCUAAUUUGAUUUUUUAAAACAAAUAUUUAUAAUAGGCAGUUGGUUAAAUAUAAUAUAUUAUAUUAACAAAUGAGUUAUGAUCCUUAUAACUGUUUGAAUAUUUCUAUUUAAUUUCAUAUAAUUUUGUUUUGAAAUUCAUAAUUUUAUAUACUACAAAAAAUAUAUUUAAAGAUUUUAAUUUGGAACAUUUAAAAAUAGUUUAAUUUAAUAUUUUAAUGAAUAUCAUAAAUAUUUAAUAGAUUAAAAAGAUAAAAAAAUUAUAAAUACUUUAAUUUGAUCUUCUAAAAAGGUAUAUUUAAAAUAGUUAUAGUAGGCGGAGGGUUAAAUGUAAUAUAUUAUAUGAUAUAAAAUUAUGAUCUUUAUAAUAGACGGCAUGUUAAGAUUAUAUGAUCAGAUAGAUUAAAUAAGGUUGACACCACAAAAUAUUUGAAAAUUUGAUUGUGCAAGAAAUUUUGGAAAUAACGAAUAAUAGAUUAUGCACGCAAUAUUUUCAUUAGGAUUCUAAGAUAAAAAUAUAGACUCCACGCACGGGUUGAAUUUGGUAUAUUAUAUACUAAAUAUAUGUUCAUAACAUAUUCGAUUACGCAAAUAAUUGGUAAAUUCCGUAGUUACCUCAAACAAAUCUCUAUUUCAACAACCAAAGAAUUAGAAAUUGAAAAAAGAAUUUCCUAAAUUAAUUCAAAAUAAUAGCUAACUUUUUUAAUUAAUUAAAAAUAAUCUACGUUUUAAAAGAGAUUCAUUUAUAAUAUUUUGAUUUUUGAUCUAAUUGAAUUAUAUACAAUCUCAUUUUGUGGUUGUUAGUAUAAAUUAACUCAUUGUUCAGACCAUAUUAAUUUAUUAAAAUAAUUUUAUUUUUCGUUUUCGUAUCUUAAAAAAAUAUAUCCAUAAUUGAGUAUAAUUAAAAAAUAUAUAUAUUCAUUCUAAUAUUAUAUAUAUGGACUGGCAAAAAUGAAAUUAUAUUUUUUCAAUUACUAUUAUAAUAUAUCACAAAUUUAUUCUAAAAUAUAUAAUAUAUAAAUUUUGUAAUAAAUAAAAUUUAACUCGUACUGUAGUACGGGUGAUGAUCUAGUUAAGGUAUAUAUUUUUGUAAUAUAAGUAAAUAUACCACAAAAACAGAAAAAAAAAAACUAAAUAUAUCACAAAAUAGACCACAAUUUUUUUUGUGCUAUAUUUUGUUAUAAAAUUUUGGUAAUAUUAUUUUUGGUAUAUAUUUUUAUAUUUUAUGUAAAAAUAUGUAAUAAUUUAUUAUUUUUAAUUAUAUAUCAAAAAUAAAUUAGAAAGAAACAAAAACAUUUUUUUGAAAUAAUUUUUGGUCAACGUCGGUCAAUAUCGGUCAACGCCGGAUUCCGGCAACUGGAGCACUUGAAAUGGAUAGUUAUAGUGUUUGCAACAUAACUUAUGUUAGUUCAAGAGAUGUAUGUACGUAUAGCUAACGAGAUAUUUUUAAAGUAUGCAUGUGUGGCUAUGUAAUGACAUCUCUUUCGUGUAGCUGCCAAACAUUUUUCUUUUUUUAAACAACAUGAUAUCAAAUUAUAUUAGCUUAUUAUCAUGCGACAGCAAAACAAACGCUAUUAAAUUAAUUAUUUUCAGUAAAUGUAACUAUGCAUAUUUACUCAUCAAUAAUGCAAUAAGGAGUCUAUUCCACAAAGUCUGGAUAUUUCAUCACAAGAGAUAAGGAGUGCAUGAAACAGAACAGACCUCCUGCUGUGAUGAUAGAUUGGAAAGCAGAAGUGUGAAAUAUUAAGACUGCGUCAAAGAUAAAUUAAAGACCUUUCUCAGAAAAGUACUACUUGGUGCUCUAGCUACAGGAACCCAAUUGGCUGCUAAACAUAUGGAUGUGGAUACAGAUUGAUGUCGAUGUAAUGAACCAAAAUCUAUCUUUCAUGUCUUAUUCUUUUUCCCAUUUGCAUCUCAGGUAUGGAAUUUGGCCUCGUUCUCAUUGGACUUCGACUUUUUCUCUACGCAGGUUACAAGAUUUGGAUUUUUAAAAGCAAAAACCCUGGUUUGUUUACCACUAGUGGGAUUAGUAGGUGUUACCUUGGCCUCUUGGAUUCUAUGGAUUCUCUGGACAACAAGAAACCAAAAUAUUUUCAAUAACAAAAGUUACACCAUUGAAGAUAUCACUCUCAAAUCUAUCGAAUGCUGACGCUGUAGCAAAGAGUUCUCUCCGAUUGUGUGCUCAAAAGUUUAGUUGAGUUUAAUAUAAUUCGGGUGAACAAAAAAAUCCCUUUAUUUGUCAGGUGUCAAAUUUUGAGGAACUCUUAAAUGUGAAAAACCAAUUUCUCACAUUCUCCUAAAAUCUACACAUUUCUCUGUUUUUAAUGAGCCAAAUACAAAUAUCCCAAUUUACUCUUAGAAAAUCGAUUUUUUAAGAAAAAAAACCAAUUUCGACUAAUUAGAAAUUAUUUUUUCGACCAAUGAAAAGGGAGACUCCAACCAUUCAUAACAUUAUACAUCAAUCCGUCCCAUCAUCUUCUCUUGUCGAUCCUCGAAGCCAUCCCUCGUCGACUGAAAAUUGCAGCCGUCGCUGCCAACGUUCUCUUCCACCAUUACUCAAACUUU
RNAcentral lists this long non-coding RNA (41643 nucleotides) under Arabidopsis lyrata. RNAcentral describes it as "long non-coding RNA (ALYR_LNC001024)". The record is from RNAcentral. Lineage: Eukaryota; Viridiplantae; Streptophyta; Magnoliopsida; Brassicales; Brassicaceae.